AUUGAACGCUGGCGGCAGGCCUAACACAUGCAAGUCGAGCGGAUGAAGGGAGCUUGCUCCUGGAUUCAGCGGCGGACGGGUGAGUAAUGCCUAGGAAUCUGCCUGGUAGUAGGGGAUAACGUCCGGAAACGGGCGCUAAUACCGCAUACGUCCUGAGGGAGAAAGUGGGGGAUCUUCGGACCUCACGCUAUCAGAUGAGCCUAGGUCGGAUUAGCUAGUUGGUGGGGUAAAGGCCUACCAAGGCGACGAUCCGUAACUGGUCUGAGAGGAUGAUCAGUCACACUGGAACUGAGACACGGUCCAGACUCCUACGGGAGGCAGCAGUGGGGAAUAUUGGACAAUGGGCGAAAGCCUGAUCCAGCCAUGCCGCGUGUGUGAAGAAGGUCUUCGGAUUGUAAAGCACUUUAAGUUGGGAGGAGGGGCAGUAAGUUAAUACCUUGCUGUUUUGACGUUACCAACAGAAUAAGCACCGGCUAACUUCGUG
This 484-nucleotide ribosomal RNA is filed under the name uncultured bacterium. RNAcentral's name for it is "partial 16S ribosomal RNA". It matches the Rfam family "Bacterial small subunit ribosomal RNA", at positions 30 to 507 of the family's 1533-position model. The record is from RNAcentral.